This 1690-nucleotide ribosomal RNA is filed under the name Salmonella enterica. RNAcentral's name for it is "partial 23S ribosomal RNA". It matches the Rfam family "Bacterial large subunit ribosomal RNA", at positions 1260 to 2925 of the family's 2925-position model. Lineage: Bacteria; Pseudomonadati; Pseudomonadota; Gammaproteobacteria; Enterobacterales; Enterobacteriaceae. The record is from RNAcentral.
GUCGUGAGGCAUGCUGGAGGUAUCAGAAGUGCGAAUGCUGACAUAAGUAACGAUAAAGCGGGUGAAAAGCCCGCUCGCCGGAAGACCAAGGGUUCCUGUCCAACGUUAAUCGGGGCAGGGUGAGUCGACCCCUAAGGCGAGGCCGAAAGGCGUAGUCGAUGGGAAACGGGUUAAUAUUCCCGUACUUGGUGUUACUGCGAAGGGGGGACGGAGAAGGCUAUGUUGGCCGGGCGACGGUUGUCCCGGUUUAAGCGUGUAGGUGUGUGUUCCAGGUAAAUCCGGUUCACUUUAACACUGAGGCGUGAUGACGAGGCACUACGGUGCUGAAGCAACAAAUGCCCUGCUUCCAGGAAAAGCCUCUAAGCAUCAGGUAACAUCAAAUCGUACCCCAAACCGACACAGGUGGUCAGGUAGAGAAUACCAAGGCGCUUGAGAGAACUCGGGUGAAGGAACUAGGCAAAAUGGUGCCGUAACUUCGGGAGAAGGCACGCUGACACGUAGGUGAAGUGAUUUACUCAUGGAGCUGAAGUCAGUCGAAGAUACCAGCUGGCUGCAACUGUUUAUUAAAAACACAGCACUGUGCAAACACGAAAGUGGACGUAUACGGUGUGACGCCUGCCCGGUGCCGGAAGGUUAAUUGAUGGGGUCAGCGCAAGCGAAGCUCCUGAUCGAAGCCCCGGUAAACGGCGGCCGUAACUAUAACGGUCCUAAGGUAGCGAAAUUCCUUGUCGGGUAAGUUCCGACCUGCACGAAUGGCGUAAUGAUGGCCAGGCUGUCUCCACCCGAGACUCAGUGAAAUUGAACUCGCUGUGAAGAUGCAGUGUACCCGCGGCAAGACGGAAAGACCCCGUGAACCUUUACUAUAGCUUGACACUGAACAUUGAGCCUUGAUGUGUAGGAUAGGUGGGAGGCUUUGAAGUGUGGACGCCAGUCUGCAUGGAGCCGGCCUUGAAAUACCACCCUUUAAUGUUUGAUGUUCUAACGUGGACCCGUGAUCCGGGUUGCGGACAGUGUCUGGUGGGUAGUUUGACUGGGGCGGUCUCCUCCUAAAGAGUAACGGAGGAGCACGAAGGUUGGCUAAUCCUGGUCGGACAUCAGGAGGUUAGUGCAAUGGCAUAAGCCAGCUUGACUGCGAGCGUGACGGCGCGAGCAGGUGCGAAAGCAGGUCAUAGUGAUCCGGUGGUUCUGAAUGGAAGGGCCAUCGCUCAACGGAUAAAAGGUACUCCGGGGAUAACAGGCUGAUACCGCCCAAGAGUUCAUAUCGACGGCGGUGUUUGGCACCUCGAUGUCGGCUCAUCACAUCCUGGGGCUGAAGUAGGUCCCAAGGGUAUGGCUGUUCGCCAUUUAAAGUGGUACGCGAGCUGGGUUUAGAACGUCGUGAGACAGUUCGGUCCCUAUCUGCCGUGGGCGCUGGAGAACUGAGGGGGGCUGCUCCUAGUACGAGAGGACCGGAGUGGACGCAUCACUGGUGUUCGGGUUGUCAUGCCAAUGGCACUGCCCGGUAGCUAAAUGCGGAAGAGAUAAGUGCUGAAAGCAUCUAAGCACGAAACUUGCCCCGAGAUGAGUUCUCCCUGAGACUUAGAGUCUCCUGAAGGAACGUUGAAGACGACGACGUUGAUAGGCCGGGUGUGUAAGCGCAGCGAUGCGUUGAGCUAACCGGUACUAAUGAACCGUGAGGCUUAACCUUACA